GUCUACGGCCACACCACCCUGAACGCGCCCGAUCUCGUCUGAUCUCGGAAGCUAAGCAGGGUCGGGCCUGGUUAGUACUUGGAUGGGAGAAUAUUCUGAAUUAAAGGCCCUUAGAGAUCAACAGGCAUUGGAAGAGG
This 137-nucleotide ribosomal RNA is filed under the name Microcebus murinus (gray mouse lemur). The record is from RNAcentral. Lineage: Eukaryota; Metazoa; Chordata; Mammalia; Primates; Cheirogaleidae.